UUGAGCGCUGGCGGCAGGCCUCACACAUGCCAGUCGAGCGGAUGAAGGGAGCUUGCUCCUGGAUUCAGCGGCGGACGGGUGAGUAAUGCCUAGGAAUCUGCCUGGUAGUGGGGGAUAACGUCCGGAAACGGGCGCUAAUACCGCAUACGUCCUGAGGGAGAAAGUGGGGGAUCUUCGGACCUCACGCUAUCAGAUGAGCCUAGGUCGGAUUAGCUAGUUGGUGGGGUAAAGGCCUACCAAGGCGACGAUCCGUAACUGGUCUGAGAGGAUGAUCAGUCACACUGGAACUGAGACACGGUCCAGACUCCUACGGGAGGCAGCAGUGGGGAAUAUUGGACAAUGGGCGAAAGCCUGAUCCAGCCAUGCCGCGUGUGUGAAGAAGGUCUUCGGAUUGUAAAGCACUUUAAGUUGGGAGGAAGGGCAGUAAGUUAAUACCUUGCUGUUUUGACGGUACCAACAGAAUAAGCACCGGCUAACUUCGUG
RNAcentral lists this ribosomal RNA (483 nucleotides) under uncultured bacterium. RNAcentral describes it as "partial 16S ribosomal RNA". It matches the Rfam family "Bacterial small subunit ribosomal RNA", at positions 30 to 507 of the family's 1533-position model. The record is from RNAcentral.